This 2271-nucleotide long non-coding RNA is filed under the name Olea europaea (common olive). RNAcentral's name for it is "long non-coding RNA (OEUR_LNC011957)". Lineage: Eukaryota; Viridiplantae; Streptophyta; Magnoliopsida; Lamiales; Oleaceae. The record is from RNAcentral.
AUAUAUUUAUUAAAUAUUAAAAUAUAAAAUAAUAUACAUUAAUUAUUUCCACUCCAUAUCACCUCACUCACCCCAUCCCAUCACCCACUACACCACAUUUCCUUCAUCUCUCCAUCGGAGAUAGGCAUCGGCUCCGGCAUUCACUCUGUAGACCGCUCAGUCAGCAACUCCGACGAUUGGUCCGAUAAUCGUUCCGAAAAACUGCUGCGGCGAACACUCAGUGACUACUCCGGAAAACUGCUCCAGUGACUAUUCCACCAAUUGUUCCGGCUCCGAUAAUAGAAAAAUCUCCAAAAAUUGUGAUGGUCGUAGUGGUGCAUUGUAGUUAUCAGAUUUACAACCGUGUUAUCUGUGACCAUACCUAUGUUAUAUGUGACCAAUUCACUGGCUUAUGUUAUCUGAGAGUCAUCACGACCAACUUUGCUUUCAAUGUGACUAAUUGUGACCAAAUUUGUAUUCAGUGUGACUGUCUGUGACCAGAUCAAUCUUAAGUCACAACCGGUCACAAUCAAUACAAAAUUAAUCACAAACAGUCACAACUAGAUCUUGAAUAGAAAAACCAGAUCUCUAACCAUCACAGCAAAUAUGUUUGAAGAAAUAAUAACCACAAGUACUACUAAUAUCUUUAACUCAAAUUGAUGACCAUAAAUACUACAUUAACCUCAAAUCCACAACAAUCAUCAUUACCAUAACUUUCACCAACCCUUCAAAAAACACCAACCAGCACCACCACACUUCUCUCGUGAAACUCCGGUGAGAGAAGUGGUAGGUGGUCGGAAUCUAAAGGGUGGGUGGGGAAGAAGUCGUAGAUUUGAUUUUUAGGUAAGAGAGUGCCGAACUAAUUUUUGAGGAAAGAAAUAGAGUGUGUGGGUCAAAAAUUGAUACAAGAUCUAGGGUAAAUUAAUACAAGGUCUGUGAUCAAGUUUGUAUUCAAUGUAACAGUUUGUGACCAGAUCAAUCUCAAGUCACAACCGGUCACAAUCAACACAAAAUAGGUCACAAACAGUCACAACCAGAUCUCGAACAUAAAAAACCAGAUCUCCACCACCACAGUAGAUUUGUUUGGAAAAAUAAUAACCACCAACACUACUAACAUCUUUAACUCAAAUCCACAACAAAAAUCAUCACUACCAUAACUUCCACCAACACCUUCAAAAAACAAUAAUCAAUUGAUUACUGAAUAUUUCUUAAUAAAGAUUUUCAAGAUUCUUCUUCAUUGCGCAGAAAAGGGAGAUGAUUGCGUGGGUGGUGGUAGAGAAAGAGAGAGAGAAAAGGGGAGGAUAGGGCGAAAAAACAUGUGGGAAAAUGAAAAUAAAUUGGGCUUGGAUUUGGAAAUGAAAUAGGGAUGGAAUGGGCUUCACUGUGCUGAAAAGGGAGAUGGUUAAGUGGGUGGUUGUAGAGAGAGAGAGAGGUGGGAAAAUGAAAAUGCCUGGGACUUGGAUUGGGAAGGAAAUGGGUGGAAUGAGCGGUGGUACGUUGGUUUAAUUAAAUUUUCAUUAAUUAUUAAAUCUAAUUAAAACCUGAUUUGUGAAAUGAAAAUUAAUCAUCCUUAUUUUUGAAAAUUAGUCUUUAAAUGUAGGUUUCUAGAUAAUUUUCCCAUUAGAUUGUCUUGGGUAAGGGUCGGCCUGAAUAUGGCAUCUAUGCAAGGGGAAUCAUAGUCUAUGUAGUCUAUAGAACUUCAGAAGUUGAUCCUAUCCUAAACAACUCCAUACGUUGCAUAUGUACCACAUUACCUCCAAGAGUAAGCUCUUAGGGACAUGUUCUUUCAUGGAAGUUGGUCUUACCACACUGCAUGCAUAGGGAACAUUAACUAAACCAUAUAUAAUUAACCAUAUUUGAAUUAAAAAAAAAACACCUCUACAUAUGAGCCGAGCACUAUAAAUAACAAUCCUUAGCUCACAUACGAUAUAAAAAUCUUUCAAGACAGUGACUUAACAAUAUAGAAUGCGAAUUUCAUUAUUAGAAUUUCGUAAGUUUUAAAAAGUAGAUAUUUAUGUAAACACCAACGGUGAGUAGAUGAGGUUGACAAACAUUCCAACCUAUAGAUCAUAAAUUACAAGAUACACGAAGAAAAAGGACAUGUAACUCACCUUCAAAGCUGCAGAAGGAGGAGAUGGAGAUGGCCAUAUGCAAAAAUUUAAACCAAAAAGAGAGCAUCAUUUUUAUUAUUCUAAUAUAAUAAAUUCUUAAUCUAUCUAACUAAUUUAUUUUUACAUAUUUUAGAGGUUUAGUCAUCUGCCAUCAGAAUCUUUAUUAUUAGGGAAGAUAAUG